AGAGGUGGCAAGCGUUGUUCGGAAUUACUGGGCGUAAAGGGCGCGUAGGCGGCCCGCCAAGUCCCGUGUGAAAGCCCCCGGCUCAACCGGGGAACGGCGCGGGAAACUAGCAGGCUUGAGUUCGGGAGAGGGAAGCGGAAUUCCGGGUGUAGCGGUGAAAUGCGCAGAUAUCCGGAGGAACACCGGUGGCGAAGGCGGCUUCCUGGACCGACACUGACGCUGAGGCGCGAAAGCUAGGGGAGCAAACGGGAUUAGAUACCCCGGUAGUCCUAGCCCUAAACGAUGAGCACUGGGUGUAGAGGGUAUGAACCCCUUCUGUGCCGAAGCUAACGCAUUAAGUGCUCCGCCUGGGGAGUACGGUCGCAAGGCUG
Molecule: ribosomal RNA, 371 nt
Filed under: uncultured bacterium
Lineage: Bacteria
Description: bacterial SSU rRNA
Rfam family: Bacterial small subunit ribosomal RNA
Source: RNAcentral